GAUGAACGCUGGCGGCUUGCCUAAUACAUGCAAGUCGAGCGAACGGACGAGAAGCUUGCUUCUCUGAUGUUAGCGGCGGACGGGUGAGUAACACUUGGAUAACCUACCUAUAAGACUGGGAUAACUUCGGGAAACCGGAGCUAAUACCGGAUGAUAUUUUGAACCGCAUGUUUCAAAAUUGAAAGACGGUCUUGCUGUCACUUAUAGAUGGAUCCGCGCUGCAUUAGCUAGUUGGUAAGGUAACGGCUUACCAAGGCAACGAUGCAUAGCCGACCUGAGAGGGUGAUCGGCCACACUGGAACUGAGACACGGUCCAGACUCCUACGGGAGGCAGCAGUAGGGAAUCUUCCGCAAUGGGCGAAAGCCUGACGGAGCAACGCCGCGUGAGUGAUGAAGGUCUUCGGAUCGUAAAACUCUGUUAUUAGGGAAGAACAUAUGUGUAAGUAACUGUGCACAUCUUGACGGUACCUAAUCAGAAAGCCACGGCUAACUACGUG
This 497-nucleotide ribosomal RNA is filed under the name uncultured bacterium. Its description in RNAcentral is "partial 16S ribosomal RNA". It matches the Rfam family "Bacterial small subunit ribosomal RNA", at positions 28 to 507 of the family's 1533-position model. The record is from RNAcentral.